CAGAAUACACACAAACACGCACGCAUAUAACUAUUAUAACCUCCACGGCACGGCAUACAUUUAUUUUCACAUACAUCGACCACACAAUGACAUAAUGACACGAGACAUGCCAGUUUGCAUAUACAACUCGAUACACUUUCAGAUAAAGGUACUCAACAUUUAAGUUUGAGUAGAGCGUUGGUGUAAUUGACGCUUGGCUCAGCAGACUUAUAGACCUCAUGUUCUCUGAAUAAAAGCUUUAUAUACACCCUCAAAUUAUCAUUAUUGCUCAAUACAGGACUUCCAGGUCUCGAGUUGACAAAAGAGAUCAUUUGUUAUGAGAUGGAUUCUUCUUCAACAAGGCAUAGGCGUCGCUAUAUAUAGCCACCAGAUUAGAAAAGACAGCAAGGACAAUCAUCAAUGACACGAGACAUGCCAGUUUGCAUAUACAACUCGAUACACUUUCAGAUAAAGGUACUCAACAUUUAAGUUGAGUAGAGCGUUGGUGUAAUUGACACUUGGCUCAGCAGACUUAUAGACCUCAUGUUCUCUGAAUAAAAGCUUUAUAUACACCCUCAAAUUAUCAUUAUUGCUCAAUACAGGACUUCCAGGUCUCGAGUUGACAAAAGAGAUCAUUCGUUAUGAGAUGGAUUCUUCUUCAACAAGGCAUAGGCGUCGCUAUAUAUAGCCACCAGAUUAGAAAAGACAGCAAGGACAAUCAUGAAAAUACUUAAGAUCUUGUCCCUCUUUGUAGCUAUGCCAUAUCGAUCCCUGACAUCACAAGAAAUAAUUGAACACUUACUUUUUAUCAAGAUCAUGGACCAAAAGAAUACCAAAAUAAACAGGAGAAAUUUUUAGAAACAAGAAACAAAAGGUUUAUUAGUAGUUGCUAGUAUAAAGGAAGGAUAAAGCAAAAUAUGGAUAAAACAUAACAGGGAGUGUAUUUUAGAAAGUAACAGUCGAAGCUUGCAAGAAGACUAAAUCUAAUUUGGUAUCUUCCAGUAGUUAAAAGCAGCAAAAUACAGGAAACUGUAACAUACUUUAGAAUAACUGCAGCAGGAAAGAUG
This 1046-nucleotide long non-coding RNA is filed under the name Olea europaea (common olive). RNAcentral describes it as "long non-coding RNA (OEUR_LNC007252)". Lineage: Eukaryota; Viridiplantae; Streptophyta; Magnoliopsida; Lamiales; Oleaceae. The record is from RNAcentral.